This 547-nucleotide long non-coding RNA is filed under the name Nicotiana benthamiana. Its description in RNAcentral is "long non-coding RNA (NBEN_LNC020689)". The record is from RNAcentral. Lineage: Eukaryota; Viridiplantae; Streptophyta; Magnoliopsida; Solanales; Solanaceae.
CUCCUUCCUCCUUUUCUUCUUUAAUUGGGUAGAAUCAGUCUUAGACACAUUUUUUGCAGCCCCUAUCAGAACAAACAUAUUCUCUAUCUUUUGAAGUACAUCAACAGGAACAAAGCAAGUAUUUACCUCUUUUGGGGUUUCUUGAUGUGUGACAGUGUCUGAAGAUCCAGGUUCAUCUCCCUCACUGGUAGAGAGGAAAUCAUCAGAGUCAGAGUUUGAAUUUGUCUCUAUUGCUGAGACUUGCUUCCUUUGACUAGACUGUAGUUUUGCAUUCAAGGAUUUCCUAAGAGAACCAGUAGCUACAAUUUUUCUUGCCAGCAUUUUCUGGUGACGAAAUCUAGGUUUUGGGGUUUCUAUGGGAGGUGAAGCAGAUGGGGUGGAAUUUGGUGAAAUGGGAGGUGGAGUUCAAGGAUUAUCUUGGGAAUUUUUCAUGUUUUUGAAUUUCUGGAGAGCAUAAGAGAAUAUUUUGGGAGUUUUGCAGUUUUUGGAGACGAAGGAGAUGAUCAGAAUCUUGUUUGAUGGAGUGACGGUUAUGAAGUGAUUAGAU